AGCGAACGCUGGCGGCAGGCUUAACACAUGCAAAUCGAGCGGGCAUCCUUGUGGUGUCAGCGGCAGACGGGUGAGUAACGCGUGGGAACGUGCCCUUCGGUUCGGAAUAACUCAGGGAAACUUGAGCUAAUACCGGAUACGCCCUUUUGGGGAAAGGUUUACUGCCGAAGGAUCGGCCCGCGUCUGAUUAGCUAGUUGGUGAGGUUAUGGCUCACCAAGGCGACGAUCAGUAGCUGGUCUGAGAGGAUGAUCAGCCACACUGGGACUGAGACACGGCCCAGACUCCUACGGGAGGCAGCAGUGGGGAAUAUUGGACAAUGGGGGCAACCCUGAUCCAGCCAUGCCGCGUGAGUGAUGACGGCCUUAGGGUUGUAAAGCUCUUUUCUCCGGGACGAUAAUGACGGUACCGGAGGAAUAAGCCCCGGCUAACUUCGUG
RNAcentral lists this ribosomal RNA (436 nucleotides) under uncultured bacterium. RNAcentral describes it as "partial 16S ribosomal RNA". It matches the Rfam family "Bacterial small subunit ribosomal RNA", at positions 29 to 507 of the family's 1533-position model. The record is from RNAcentral.